This 247-nucleotide long non-coding RNA is filed under the name Salvator merianae (Argentine black and white tegu). RNAcentral describes it as "lncRNA (ENSSMRG00000015757.1)". Lineage: Eukaryota; Metazoa; Chordata; Lepidosauria; Squamata; Teiidae. The record is from RNAcentral.
CAGCACCUUAGCAGGAAGAGCCAUCCAGGCAGAUCAAAAAGAGGCACGUAAUUGCACUUAGCACCUCACGGUUCCUGCUAGGAUGGCCUCCAAAGAAUGCCAAAUUUAUGAAGAAGGUUUUGAACACCUUGACAUCUUGGAAAUCUCAGAGCUUCUGCUGGACAAUCUAGACGAUGAGCAGCAGCAAAGUCUGCUAAUUAAAGAUGGAAGUUUUCCGGAGAUGGUGAAAAAUGUGCCUGAACAUGAG